GCUGGGUGUGGUGGUGCCCAUUGGUGGUCCCAGCUACUUGGGAGGCUGAAGCAGGAGGAUCAUUUGAACCCAGGAAUUCCAGACGGGCCUGGGCAACAUAGUGAGACCCCAUCUU
Molecule: small RNA, 115 nt
Filed under: Marmota monax (woodchuck)
Lineage: Eukaryota; Metazoa; Chordata; Mammalia; Rodentia; Sciuridae
Source: RNAcentral